UCCCGCUUAAACGCGGGCAGUUCUGUGAGACACUUGUAACUCACCGUAGGGGUUGCGCUCGUUUUCACACUUAAGUGAACACCUCACGGCACGAGCUGACGACAACCGUGCAGCACCUGUGUACCACCCUCGAAGGCUACACUAUUUCUAAUGUAUGCAGGUACAUGUCAAAACUUGGUAAGGUUCCUCGCUUACCGUCGAAUUAAACCACAUGCUCCACCGCUUGUGCAGGUCCCCGUCAAUUCCUUUGAGUUUUAGCCUUGCGGCCGUACUCCCCAGGCGGAUGAUUUAACGCGUUAGCUAUGGUACUAAGGAGGGUCGAUACUCCCUAGCACCUAAUCAUCAUCGUUUACAGCGUGGACUAAA
This 366-nucleotide unclassified non-coding RNA is filed under the name uncultured bacterium. RNAcentral describes it as "contains 16S-23S intergenic spacer region". The record is from RNAcentral.